AUGACGGGGGCCCGCACAAGCGGCGGAGCAUGCGGAUUAAUUUGAUGCAACGCGAAGAACCUUUCCAAGGCUUGACAUAUACGAGAACGCUGCAGAAAUGUAGAACUCUUUGGACACUCGUAAACAGGUGGUGCAUGGUUGUCGUCAGCUCGUGUCGUGAGAUGUUGGGUUAAGUCCCGCAACGAGCGCAACCCUCGUUCUAUGUGCCAGCGCGUA
Molecule: ribosomal RNA, 216 nt
Filed under: uncultured Actinomycetes bacterium
Lineage: Bacteria; Bacillati; Actinomycetota; Actinomycetes
Also listed under: 1 other name
Description: uncultured actinobacterium partial 16S ribosomal RNA
Rfam family: Bacterial small subunit ribosomal RNA
Source: RNAcentral